Long non-coding RNA from Salvia miltiorrhiza (redroot sage), 1497 nucleotides. RefSeq lists it as uncharacterized. The transcript is spliced from 2 exons. The record is from RefSeq and is a predicted model, not a curated record. Lineage: Eukaryota; Viridiplantae; Streptophyta; Magnoliopsida; Lamiales; Lamiaceae.
GAACUAUAUUCUUCAAAACAUGGCUCGGAAUAUUAUCAACAAGCCACUUAGGCCAUCCACCCACCAACUCAUCAUCUUCACCACCACCCUUAUUCAUCAAGCCAUCACCACUCCUUCUAGAAACUUCGCCACCCCUAUCUCCAUCACCGCUGCCGCUAUUGCUAGCACUCCUCCUCGCCUCGUGCCCCGGGUGGGCCCCGCCUCUCCCCCGGGAGCUCGGGUUCCUCGUCGGCCUCACCGGGCCCUCCUUCAUGCUACCAUUAACCAGCCUUAGCUUCUCCAUCUCCAUCGGCGGAGAUUUCACGGGAUAGAUGGUGGUAAUAAAAAGAGGUGUGGAGGAGUGAUAAUCUAUAUAUGUUUUCUAGCAUCGUGUCCUAAUCUUGAAGACUUAUGCAUACACUUCUCAUCUAUGUUACCAAAUCUUAAACCAAGCUUGAAAGUUUUGGACAUGAUUUGUGAUGUCCUUUGUUUUGGAAGCAGAGACUCAAACAGUUGAGGUGGAGAAGCUUGUAUUGGAUUUUCGGUUAAUGGUUGGUGGCCAACAUGUAUCCUUAUGCUUCUUCAUUUGAAUAAACCUUAUGGCUAUGUGGAAGCUGCUCAAAACAUUUUAUUCUUCACAUCAUUGAUCCAGGCUUCUCCACAUUCCUGCGACUUUAAAUUUAAGGUGAAUCAUUUUCGCAUGUCAGAUUUGAAUUUCUACACAUAUUCAUGAAGAUUCGAUAACUUGCCUAAACGAUAAUGUAAAAGCCACUUUAUUCUCUAGAUUUGAAUAAUAAUCAAAAACCAAGUUUUAGGAUGUUGGUAUAAGGCCUUCCAUUUUAUCACUCGGACUUGGCAAACAAGUUAGAGUAUUUCUACAAGUUUUGUUGUCAUUGUGUAGAUCAAAGAUGUUUCCACAGAAUGUCUCUUGUUGGGUUGCUUCUUCGAUCUCUUGUCUGGCAGAUUUCUUUCACUGCGGAUUUUUAGUUUGAGAUAGGCUUGGGCCUUCAAGUUUGCUAAGGAGUCUUUAUUCCUAGGGCUUUUAUGAACCCUAUUGAGUGCCGCCUCAAGUAACCCCUUCGAUGAGCCGCCGCCUGGAGCCUGCAGUCCGCCAAGAGUUUAGCCCGACUUGAGCCCAACUUCUUCUAAGGUUUGGCUAUAUUUUGGUGAUGAAGGGAAUUCGUUUUUGCUGUUGUUUUUCGUUCUACUCUACUGAUCAUUAAGAGUAUUUUCGUAGCCUUAUCGAGAGCAUGCAAUACAUGCAAGUGUGUUCUAAUUUGUGGCUUUAAUAUUAUUUAUUGGGUUUAAGCGUUGAAUGUGUAGCAUUCAAGCUUAGGGAGUGAGUUGUUAAUUUGCUCUCAAUUAUUCAUCUUGGUGGAGGUUUGGGAAGAUAUAGAGGCUAGGGAGAACGAGUCUUCGCGUGUAAGUCCUUUGUAUAUCUUAUCAUCACUAGUGGAUAAUUUACCUUGGGCGUGGCCCCCCAGACGCAGGUGUUUUAUCACCAAACUGGGUUACCAA